GGGCCAUAACUCAAUGGCAAAGCAUCUGCCUUGGAUGCAGAAGGUCCCAGGUUCAAUCACCAGCAUCUCCA
Molecule: transfer RNA, 71 nt
Filed under: Podarcis lilfordi (Lilford's wall lizard)
Lineage: Eukaryota; Metazoa; Chordata; Lepidosauria; Squamata; Lacertidae
Description: tRNA.Pro
Source: RNAcentral